UAGGGAAUCUUCCGCAAUGGACGCAAGUCUGACGGAGCAACGCCGCGUGAGUGAAGAAGGAUUUCGGUUCGUAAAACUCUGUUGUUAGAGAAGAACAGCGCAUAGAGUAACUGUUAUGCGUGUGACGGUAUCUAACCAGAAAGCCACGGCUAACUACGUGCCAGCAGCCGCGGUAAUACGUAGGUGGCAAGCGUUGUCCGGAUUUAUUGGGCGUAAAGCGAGCGCAGGCGGUCAAUUAAGUCUGAUGUGAAAGCCCCCGGCUCAACCGGGGAGGGUCAUUGGAAACUGGAAAACUUGAGUGCAGAAGAGGAAAGUGGAAUUCCAUGUGUAGCGGUGAAAUGCGCAGAGAUAUGGAGGAACACCAGUGGCGAAGGCGACUCUCUGGUCUGUAACUGACGCUGAGGUUCGAAAGCGUGGGUAGCAAACAGG
RNAcentral lists this ribosomal RNA (429 nucleotides) under Bacteroidota bacterium. RNAcentral's name for it is "Bacteroidetes bacterium partial 16S ribosomal RNA". It matches the Rfam family "Bacterial small subunit ribosomal RNA", at positions 355 to 776 of the family's 1533-position model. Lineage: Bacteria; Pseudomonadati; Bacteroidota. The record is from RNAcentral.